This 73-nucleotide transfer RNA is filed under the name Brassica napus (rape). RNAcentral's name for it is "tRNA-Tyr (GTA) (tRNA-Tyr-GTA-7-1)". It matches the Rfam family "tRNA". From Rfam's summary of the family: Transfer RNA (tRNA) molecules are approximately 80 nucleotides in length. Their secondary structure includes four short double-helical elements and three loops (D, anti-codon, and T loops). The record is from RNAcentral. Lineage: Eukaryota; Viridiplantae; Streptophyta; Magnoliopsida; Brassicales; Brassicaceae.
CCGACCUUCGCUCAGUUGGUAGAGCGGAGGACUGUAGAUCCUUAGGUCACUGGUUCGAAUCCGGUAGGUCGGA